CAACGCUGGCGGCGUGCCUAUUACAUGCAAGUCGAGCGGAAUGAUGAAGAAGCUUGCUUCUUCUGAUUUUAGCGGCGGACGGGUGAGUAACACGUGGGCAACCUACCUUGUAGAUUGGGAUAACUCCGGGAAACCGGGGCUAAUACCGAAUAAUCCAUUUUGCUUCAUGGCGAGAUGUUGAAAGACGGUUUCGGCUGUCACUACAAGAUGGGCCCGCGGCGCAUUAGCUAGUUGGUAGGGUAAUGGCCUACCAAGGCGACGAUGCGUAGCCGACCUGAGAGGGUGAUCGGCCACACUGGGACUGAGACACGGCCCAGACUCCUACGGGAGGCAGCAGUAGGGAAUCUUCCACAAUGGACGAAAGUCUGAUGGAGCAACGCCGCGUGAGUGAAGAAGGUUUUCGGAUCGUAAAACUCUGUUGUAAGGGAAGAACACGUACGAGAGUAACUGCUCGUACCUUGACGGUACCUUAUUAGAAAGCCACGGCUAACUACGUG
RNAcentral lists this ribosomal RNA (497 nucleotides) under uncultured bacterium. Its description in RNAcentral is "bacterial SSU rRNA". It matches the Rfam family "Bacterial small subunit ribosomal RNA", at positions 32 to 507 of the family's 1533-position model. The record is from RNAcentral.